Long non-coding RNA from Nyctereutes procyonoides (raccoon dog), 608 nucleotides. RefSeq lists it as uncharacterized. Lineage: Eukaryota; Metazoa; Chordata; Mammalia; Carnivora; Canidae. The transcript is spliced from 3 exons. The record is from RefSeq and is a predicted model, not a curated record.
CUCGUCACUGCCCCACACGUGGCUCUGACCCUGGACCCCGUCACUACCCCUCACGCGGCUCUGACCCUGGACCCCGUCACUGCCCCUCACGUGGCCGCAGAUCCUGGACGCCGUCACUGCCCCUCACGUGGCGCUGACUCUGGACCCCGUCACUGCCCCUCACGUGGCCGCUGACCCUGUCACCACCCUAGGUGCAGGUGCUGGCCCUGGAGCCGCGCCUGUGCCCACAUAGGCCUGGCAAAGGGCAGACAAGGUUCCCAAACAUGGCGAGAAAAACGGGGAUUCCGUGCGUUCCUUACAUCCAUGGCGAUGCUGAAACGACAGUGUUGCGGAUACUGUGGCUUAAAAGUGAAACGCGAGGCUUAACUGGUCCCUACCCAACCACUGCCAGCUGAAGCCCACCCAGGUCCUGGAGAUGGAGCUGAGAGGAAGCUCUGGACCAACCCAAGAGCUGGAUGCAGGAACCUGACACCAGGAGGCUCAGGGAGCAAAGAAGCCUCUCGGUCCUCCGCCUUCUCGUCCUCCCAGAUGUCCGGCGACCCGAUGCCCUCGUCCUUGUCCUCUGCCCGCCGCCGCUUGGGGGAUGAGCCGCUCAGCUCCUGGGGACC